RNAcentral lists this ribosomal RNA (275 nucleotides) under uncultured bacterium. RNAcentral describes it as "partial 16S ribosomal RNA". It matches the Rfam family "Bacterial small subunit ribosomal RNA", at positions 79 to 353 of the family's 1533-position model. The record is from RNAcentral.
CUAAGUUUGAUGGCGACCGGCGCACGGGUGAGUAACACGUAUCCAACCUGCCGAUGACUCGGGGAUAGCCUUUCGAAAGAAAGAUUAAUACCCGAUGGCAUAGUUCUUCCGCAUGGUGGAACUAUUAAAGAAUUUCGGUCAUCGAUGGGGACGCGUUCCAUUAGGUUGUUGGCGGGGUAACGGCCCACCAAGCCUUCGAUGGAUAGGGGUUCUGAGAGGAAGGUCCCCCACAUUGGAACUGAGACACGGUCCAAACUCCUACGGGAGGCAGCAUG